UUGGAAGCCUCGGUAUUUCGC
This 21-nucleotide non-coding RNA is filed under the name Arabidopsis thaliana (thale cress). Lineage: Eukaryota; Viridiplantae; Streptophyta; Magnoliopsida; Brassicales; Brassicaceae. The record is from RNAcentral.